UACCGAGUAGCCAGCCAACUUCCCAAAUGAAGGAUCCUCACCAAGUUUAUUUUUUAUUCACAUAAAGUCCAAGAUGAGUGCCCUGAUUGGAAGGCAGCCUUCCUCCCAGCAGAGGUUCUUUCCAUCUUGCAGCUCUGCCAUCUCCUAGAUCAUGAGGCCAUGGCUAUAGAGAAAAGAGAGGUGGAAGGGACACCUGUCUGCUUCUUAACAUCCUCAGCCCAGAAGAGAGAGAGACUGCCUCUGCUCAUGCUCCACCAGCUUGACGGCAGGGGAGCUGGAGCUGGAGUCGAGCUGGGUAUCUGGGAAGAGGAGAUGAGUUUGGUGACCAGAUACCCAAUCCUACUACAACAGGAAGCCCCACGAUGGCAAGGGCUGGGUGGAAGUCCUCUCUUCAGCCUCACACCUGGCACCACAGGGGAGGGCCCUGGCCGUCCUGAUGAACACGUCUGUGGAGGGAAGGCACGUCCUCCUGAGUCAUCAGUUUCCUGGGGCUGAGCCCGGGCCCUGCUUGUCAGCAUAUUGCUCACUGAUCUGGAAAGCUUUCCUGUCGUCUAGACACUCCCAUCCCCGUUCUAAAGAGACCUUCUAAAGGAGUUUUUAUCUCUCCUUCUACGUGAGGGGUGUGAUGGCGCAGCGGUCACACGCGUGUGAACUCUGGAAUCGGCCGGAUUUGAGUGGGCACCAUACCUUCUCCUCUCGGCUCACUGUGAGAGCAGCAAAGCCCUCUGAGCCUCAGUUUACUUCUCUGUAAACUGAGGACGAUCAGAGCUUGGUUGUGAAGAUUAAACUGACGUAGUGACAAAAUGCUUAGACCCACAAUGGAUGCAGGUUAUUAUUACUUUUAGUAACAACCCAAAAGAGAGGCCAGGCUACGGGGCAGGCCAGCAAUCCUGUCCCAAGUCCUGCUCUGAGCCCUGCUUUCUACUUCCUCCAGCCUCUCAGGCAAGUUCCACUUUAGGUCAGAGCGAAAUGAGAAAGCUCUGAGUGUUCUGGGCCCUUGGGGGAGACUGAGAACAGCUGAAUCCAUGAAUGAUGCCUCUGAAGGUGCCAGGGACGCCUGGCCCCACCCUCACCCAGCGCCAGAGCACUGCCUGCCAGACCCUUGUCAGCGGUUACAACCUCCAACUGCCUCCCGCUGCCCCAGUUUUAUCAAAAGCUCAGUUGAGAGAAAUAAAGUUCAUGGGGGUUAUUUAAAGGCCACACAUUCCAUCCAUUCUUCCAGAUGAGACUUAUCCCUGAAACGACUUGGGCUCUCAUGGAGCCAAGCGCCUCUUGGACCAUGUUAUUUAACCACCACAAAAUCUUUCUUAUGUUCCUCCUUUAUGGUGGGGCUUUCUGGAAAAAAGGCCAGAGGAGUCUGCUACUGCAUUUAUUUUGGGAUGCUGUUGUCUCUAGUAGUCACUGCCUCAGCCAGUGCUGGCUAUAAGACCUGGGAGCUGAAUAUAUUUCAGGAUCCAGUUUCUGGUGAAGCUCUGUAUCCUCAGAGGAACUGGUGGGCUUCUGAUUAUGGGCAAUCCACUCAUGAAACUGGCCCCCAUUCUCAUUUCAUUUGGACUACCAGGAAUCUCAGAGCCAAAUUUGGGGCUCAGCUUGAAGAAUCUUAGAAGGUCUCUGGGCCUGCUGUGUAAGGAAGGUGAUUUCUUUCCAGAUGCUGAUUGCUAAGAGAUGAGAUGAUGGUAGCGAUGAUGAUGAUGAUAAUAUUGUAUGUAUCUUGUCAAUUGCUUUAGGGCUCUAGGGGGACCAGAGUGGGAAUUUCCACCCUGGAAAACAGGGAUGGAUAAUUGGCCAGGGUCGGUGGAGAAGGAGGAAGUGACAAGGAGGAGAUAGUGCCAGCCGCGGUGUCCACGGGAUGCAUCUCUUUCUAGGCCACAGUGGAGGUGGUUAAGGGUCUAAUUUAACUGAACCAGAGGGUGUGAAAAGAGGAUUUUCCAUGAAUUUGUGAAGAGAACCACAGCCAUUGCUCAACUUCAACUUCUCCCUGUGGCCCACCCCGCCCCCUGCCUUUCUGGGUAUUUUUGUCAUAUUGUGAAACCCCGAAGCUUGCAGUGUCGCCUUUCUCUUCCUCUUCACUCCGCGGCCCAGGCACUCCCACCCACCUUUCCCUUUUUCCUUCUUGGCCCUUCUGCAUUUUCCCCCAUUCCACCACCCCCUGGGCUCAGGGGCGAGAGCUGGGCUGCCCACUGUGGCUGUGUGCCCAUCUCUGGGUGACAGCAGAGGCCCUCUGGUCUAAAGCCCACAGCUUUGCCGGCUGGAGCAAACAUAAGGGCGAUGAGGAGUUCAGACCCCUCCAGGGAGCAGCAACAGAGUAGUGACCAUUCAUUGAACUUGUUACUGUCUGCCAAACACUGAGGAACCAUUACCACCACCCUUUUAUUGGAUUCAUUUUAAUGAGUCGUAUGCCUCAGCAGCUCAUUGUCCCAGCCAGGCCCGUUCAUCCAUCGGUUUACCCAUCUAUCUAGUCCCAGGAUUCUCAGUUUCAACACUGCUGACCAUUUGUGGCCAGAUUUGUCUUUGUUGUAGGGGCUGUUCUGGGCAUUAUAGGAUGUGUAGCAGCAUCCUUGGUCUCUACCUACUAAAUGCCAAAUAGCAACCCCCCUCCACCCCAUGACUACCAAAAAAGUCUCCAGACAUUGCCAAUUAACCCCUGGUGAGAGGGGGCAAAAUCAUCCCUAUUGCCCCAGUCCUCUCUGAUAGAACCUCUCUGACAUGUUAACAGGUAUUUCUUUUGUGUAUGAUCUUGCAGCUCUGUUAACUGCCUGCUCAUAUCAUUUGCCCAGUUUUCUAUUCUGGUUCCCAUUUUCUUCUUUUGAUUUGCAAAGGGCGGUCCUUGUAUAUUUUAGAUAUUGGUCCCAUGUUGAUUUGGAUCUGUGUUUUCUUCUCUUUUUCUGCUAUCCAUGUAUUAAUUCUCACCUUACAGGUGAGGACACAGGGGCACAGAGCUCAUGACUCUAGUAAAUGGCAGAGCCUGGGACACAAGUCCAGGUCUCUGUCCUCAGAGCCUAGGCACUGGACCUCUGGGGCACAGUGACAUCCCUUCCUUCCAAAUAUGUCUUCACAGGAAAGCAGAGAAUCCCAUGGACAGAGGAGCCUGGCAGGCUAUACCGUCCAUAGGGUCGUGAAGAGUCUGACAUGACUGAAGCAACUUAGCAUGCAUGUACGCGUGUAGACCGGGAUGCAUACUGUGCGGUGUCCCCAGGAAGGUGUCCGGCUCCUCCUGGACUGACGUGGGGCCCAGGAUCCAAGGUGGCAGCAGGAGGAAUACGGCACAAAUCUCCAGAGGCCUGGACGGUUCCCGAGGGGCCUGAUUGAAGAUUCUCAUGCCCCAGUUUCCUGUUCUUGCUGGCACCCAGGAGGAGCCGUCCCACUGCCCUGUACCAAGUGCCCUGGCACAGGGGGGACAGUGGUGUUCCUGGUGACCAUGUGGUCACACUCCCCCUGCCCCCGCCAAGCCCGCUGCCCUGCCAAAGACGGCACCUGUUGGGUGCCGCACUGUGCUGCCUCCAGACCCAGCUUUGCCCAUGCCUGUGUUUGUGGGGGUGGAGUGAGGGGUGGAGGUGGGGGGGGCACUGUAACCUUCACCCCAAGCUCUCUCACAGAAGAUCCUGCCCCCACCAGAAAUGCGCUGAGCAAAGCUUCUCUUCCCAAGGCGGCCUCACCCCAGAGGACCACGAGAAGAGACACUAAGAGGCAAGAGGGCCCCUCUGUCCCAACACUGACCAUGCCACCCUGGCCGCAGAGAUGGUGCUGCCAUAUUUCUUAGGAAUGUCACAGAACUGGCAUCCAGAGGGACUGCUCUGGGGAUGGGCAGAGAAGGGGGGCCUGCAUGGGUGGCACCUCUGUGGCCGAGCAUCUGAGGCCAGAAGUGCACCUCUCAAGAGCCUGAUUAGUGUGUCCUGGCAAAGAAGGCCACUGGACUCAACUCAACUCAAGACUUCCACUCACUUUGUCAUUCAAUGAGUCUUUACUGAGUGCCAACUGUUGUGCUAAGUGCCGGGGAUGCAGACGAGAGCAGACCAGACAUAGUGUCCCUGGUGGGGGAACUUGAGGGCUUAUUGUGCAUCUGUGUCUCCACCAUACCCAUGAGGAUGGCCAUGGUGCCGGGGCAGAAAGAGGCAAGACCCUUCCUCCCAUGGUCUCACUGGGGAGAAAAGAUGCACACACAUGAAACACUCAGAAUGAGACAAAGAUGAAAUAAACACCUGAUUGACUCUGGUAACCACAGGUUGAAGUGAACAUGACCAGGUUUCGGGUUCAGGCUAUGAAGGUCUGUAAGUGCUGUCAGUGGACCUGAUGGGGCAGCCCCACUGGGCCUGAGUUACUUUUUUCAGGCUUCUUGGAAGAAUCUGAUUAGGUGGGCCUGAUUAUUAACCUUGAAAAAAGGCAUCAGUUCUGCCAUGAGUGUAUUGCACUGGAAAAUCUCUAUAGAUUCUGCCAUCUUUCUUGAUUCCUUUUUCCCAUUUCCUCCUUCUCCUCCUCCUUCCUGCAUUCUCACUUAGAACAGAAAACCUUCCACGGUCAAUGACUGGAUGCCAGGUUUGGUUAAAUGUCUUUUGUUUACAAAGCAUGGUGCUAGCUGCAACAGGAUUAUAGAGAUAAACCACACAGACCUUAUCCCUAAGUGAGUGAAGUCCCUUAGUUGUGUCCAACUCUUUGCGAGCCCAUGGACUGUAGUCUACCAGCCUCCUCCAUCCAUGGGAUUUUCCAGGCAAGAGUACUGGAGUGGGUUGCUGUCCUCUAAAGAUCUGCAAACCAACUUGGGUUCACAGAUUGAUAUAAUAGGAGAGAGUGAAAGAUGUGUGCAAGCAUGCAGACAACAAGAAAGUCGAGUCCUAUCCCUGGUAUAGGAUUUGGAAUAUUGAUUCUGUGUUAUUUGUGUGUGUGGUAUGCUGCCUUCUCUUCGUUGUUCGUUUUUAUCUCAAACUUCAGAAAAAUUAUAAGAAUAUUACAGGUAAUUUCUGUUAGCCCUUUUCCAAGAUUCACCAAUUUUUUACAUUUUAUGGAAUCAUUUGAGAACAAGUUAGAGACAUUUUGCUCUUUUACCCCUAAACACUUCAGCGUGUAUUUCAAGGACAUUGUUUUACAUAGCCUGGUUUCCUUUUAGUUGAACCUUUUUCCUCUCACUUUCAGAAAGUGUUGGAUCACUCUAUACUCUAAAUAAAGUUUAUUUAAUAGGAGACAGCUAGCUUGAUUUUCUGCUUGAGGCUAUGCUGGUGGCCUGGCCACUGGGGACUGCUGGGUCACAGGGUCCCCUGAGAACCUCUGCUGGUUUCAGUGGCUGUGCCUGAAUUGGCUUGCUGCUGGACAGCCGAACUGCCCCCUCUGAGGCCUGGCCAGGCCUUGGCUGAACUCUUGCUCUCUUUCUUUCCACUUUGUUCUUAAGUUUUCUGCACAUUCUCCCGCCCACAGAUAUGAAUGUCGCAUGAUGUUGACUUUCCAGUGUCUGGCAUGGCCUGGUGGAAGCAGAGUGAGCUUGACUAGACUUUCUCUCUGGGCCUUAGAGGCCAGCCUGGGCUCUCUGAAAACACAGAAGGCUUCCUUUCCCUGACUUGCAGGAGCGAGGCGCUAUGGCAUGCUCUGGCUCCCAGGCCUGUGGUCCUGCUCAGGACUGGCCGUCUUAGGCUGAGGGAACAUUUUCCAGAGUACAACUGAGGGACAGAACGUCUCCAUGAAAUGCGUUGGGAUGGGCAGGGUUUUGGAAAGGCCCCUGCUUGUUCUGGGAGGUGUUCAGGAGGCUGAGGUUUUGGAGAUCCAUGGUGGUUUUUCAUGACUGCUCCCGGUGUGGGGAGGAGGAAUGGAUGGGUGCGCAUUUCCUUGGGUUCAGUGGCAGAGGUGAAGCCCAGGACUGUUGGCCCUGGACAAGGCCCUCUGCUGGGCCCAGGGAGGGUGCUGGGCUUUGAAGGGGAACACUGCCUGGAGGACUGGCACGUGGAAUCAUGAGAUGCUGUUCACAUACGCUGAGCCUUGGCCAGAGCUCUCCCAGCACUGGGCAGGACACAAACCCCAAAUGAUCUUCAGUUUCCACUCAAGGGUGCCUCUGAUGGAGCAGGUAGGAGAAAACCCCAGUGAACCUACAAGACAGAACAUACUGGAAUAACUAGACAGAUCGAUCUCCUGCAAAUAAAGGCCAUAGAAGAGGGAGCCCAGAGCAGGCCUGAGCAGUCAGGAAGUGUUCUGGGGAGGAGGGGAAGACUCCUUUUCGGCAGCUUCUCCCUCUGUUCUUGCACACAGCCACCCAGGGUCCCGUUCCAGCUCUGUUCUAUCCCCUUGGGCAGGUGGAUUUACAUCCCUGAACCUGUUUUCUCCUCUUUGAAAUAAGAAAUGGGGCACCUGAGCCAUCUCUCGGGGGCAGUGAGUACUAAGAGAUAAUCCAGCCAGGUCAGGGGGCUGCAGCAGAGCUUGGAGAGCUUAUGAAAAUGCAGAAACCUGCGCCCUAGCCCAGACCUUGGGAGCUGAUUCUCUGGGGGUGAGGCCCAGGCUUGUAUAGGUUUCCUUUUGAACAGGCUCCCCAGGUGGUCCUUGGAGCAGAGGUCAGGUAACCGUGGGGUCUUUGCAUUCUCGACCCCUGACUCAACCACACGCGGCCGGGAUCUAGACUCAGGCCUCUAUUCUUUGCAGUAUUUUCCCUGGUGUCGACAGCGGUGGGUACAGGUGGGGGCACCCUGGCCUUCCCACCUGGCGAUCCAGCACCUCCACCCCCUCCCCGCCCCUCACGCGGGAGCUGAGCCGAGGUCCUGAAUGUAUCCGCUCUCUCCUUCCCUAAGAACCAGUCUCAAUGCCUCCCAUUACCAUCUCCAUGGCAGUCGCCUCCAGGGCCCCAUGGAAAUCACAAGGCUUUCUGAGGAGUCGUGCAGACUUGAGAAAAGACCCCGGGCCCCCUGCCCACCCCGGGCUCCCCGGCCCUCUAAUCCUGCUCGGAGCGCGGACACAGAGCUCCCUCUCUCCUUCGCGGCCAGGCCUCUCAUUCUCCCACAGAGCUGACGUUUCUCUGCGGCCCAGCUGGCUGCAGUUUUUAGAAAUAACAAUAUCCCCGGGGGG
Dama dama (fallow deer) is the source of this 7035-nucleotide long non-coding RNA. RefSeq lists it as uncharacterized. The transcript is spliced from 5 exons. Lineage: Eukaryota; Metazoa; Chordata; Mammalia; Artiodactyla; Cervidae. The record is from RefSeq and is a predicted model, not a curated record.